RNA transcript from Pygocentrus nattereri (red-bellied piranha), 4922 nucleotides. It is a transcript of the gene named leucine-rich repeats and transmembrane domains 2a, with no coding region annotated. The transcript has 6 exons. The record is from RefSeq and is a predicted model, not a curated record. Lineage: Eukaryota; Metazoa; Chordata; Actinopteri; Characiformes; Serrasalmidae.
CUCUCUGUCUCCCUCUCUCUCGCUCUCUCUGUCUCCCUCUCUCUCUCUCUCCCUCUCCCUCUCUCUCCCUCUCCCUCUCUCUCUCUCUCUCUCUCUCUCAGACCCAGCACACUCCAACGCUACUAUCUGUGCUGAGCCUGGUGCAUACAGUCCUGCCACACGCCUCACUGCGCUCACAUACGGAGGAGGCAGCACACGCGCACGCAUGCACAGCCAAGGCUACCCUGAGGACAGCACGCGCUUCGAGAGGCACGCACGGGCGACCACACGCCUACAGACGCUCGGUGUGAGAGAGGCACAUGCCGCGGUCUCGGCGGCGCGGCGGCGCAGGACGGGCUGCUGGGCGGGCGGCAGGCUGGGAAUGUGAAGCCGCUGUUUGACGCCGACGGCGGCGCUGGAUUAUUCCGCUCUCCCUCUUUCAUCUUCCCCUUCUUAUUUCCUCUAAUCUGCCUCCCCCUCCCCCCUCACCUUCUGACAGCCCCCUUUCUCGCCUGGGCUUGGGCUGCUGUUGCUGCUGUGUCAGUGGGAGAAUAUUUUACCGGAUUACAGCAGUCAGUGUUUCCCCUUUAUUGCCCCCCACUACAAAAAUAAACAGCCCACUGCGGUCAGAGGGCGCUGAAAAGGACGGAGCACCAGAAGAAGCGACUCCAUCGCAGAUCGCUGACUGUCGGCCUCUGCCAGUGAAGCUUGGCGUCGAGGCACACCGAUGCCUAGCUGGGUCUGAGGCGGGCAAACGCAGGCGCAGACGAGUCGCAGCUGAGAGGCACACGCGCAGCCAUGCGGCUCUUCACCGGGCCUGUGUUGAGCCGCUCUGGGAGCAGCACUCAGAGCAGCCCUGCGCUGCUCUGCGUGUUGUAUCUGCUGGUCAUGCAGCUGCAGCCCUGCUCCGGCUGCCCGUCUGUAUGUGUAUGCAGCUUAUCCGAGGCAGACUGCAGUGGCCGCGGCCUGGUGGCGCUCCCCGCCCUGUCAUCGCUCCCAUCAUCCACGCGCACCCUCCUCCUGCCCAACAACCGCCUCUCCUUGCUGCCCACCGCAGCCUUCACCAACCUCAGCUCCCUCGAGAGGCUGGACCUGUCCAACAAUUACCUGGACAACCUGCCAGCCGGCUUGUUUGCUGAGCUGGCCAACCUGAGCGAUCUCAGCUUGAGGAACAACAGCCUAACGGCACUGGACCGUGACCUCCUGCAAGGCCUGGGAAGCCUGCGGAGGCUGGAUGUGUCUCUGAACGGCCUGGCUGCCGUCCCACUGGGUCUGCUGGACCAGCAGCAAGGCCUGACGUGGUUGUCCCUGGCCGGGAACAGGCUGCAGGCGCUGGAGAGGGCCGCCUUUGAGCCGCUGGUUAACCUGCAGCACCUGGAGCUGGGCUCUAACCCGUGGGAGUGCGACUGCAACCUGCGCGACUUCAAGCACUGGAUGGAGUGGUUAAUCUACCGAGGUGGCUAUGUGGACGCCAUGGAGUGCACCCUCCCCAAAGACCUGCGAGGGCGGGACAUCCGGAGCGUACCCGUGGAGAUGUUCAACUACUGCCUGCAGCUGGAGGAUGAGAACGGGGGCGGGUCUGGAGGGACGAAGGGCGGCUCUCCCCCGUGCGUGCGGGCCACAGCGGCGCCACCCUCCGAGAGCACAGUGGUGCGGACGGAGACCGAGGCGCCGGACUGUGUGAGGCAGCGCUAUCGGCCUGUCAGCGUGCGACGGGCCAUCGGCACGGUGGUGAUCGCCGGCGUGGUGUGCGGCAUUGUGUGCAUCAUGAUGGUGGCGGCAGCCGCAUACGGCUGCAUCUACGCCUCCCUGAUGGCCAAGUACCAGCGCGAGCUGAAGAAGAGGCAGCCGCUGAUGGGCGACGCCGAGGCGGAAGCUGACCCUGAGGAGAAACAGAUCUCAUCGGUGGCGUAGAGCAGGGGAAGAGGGGUCAGGGUUCACAGACAGGACUGCUCUGGAAUCAAAACUGCACAGUGAGAAAGAGACAGCAACCUUUACCGGGGCUGACUGAGGCUCGUUCCUGUCCUACCUACGUUCCUCUCCUCUCUCCCAAAGACUAGUUGCAGACAUUCUCCUCAUGCUAAGGACCCCUGCUCUAACGCCUUUGCCCUCUGUCCUUGGAUCACAGUCCGCCCCCUAGAACCAGAGGCUCAAUCAGCACUUUAAAACUUCACCCCUUCGUCUCGGCCCUGGUCUUGGAAGGAAGGAUUGCGGGGAGGAAAGAUGAAUAGCUGCUGUUUGAUUGCUCCUCUAUGGUGUACUCCUCUAGUGGCUAACAUCAGCAUCUGCACUAGCAGCUGCAUCAACCUUGCCCCUGCCCUAAAUAUACCCACUUCGCCCCACGGAGACUCUAUUUUGGUGGAAUGCAGGACACAGGGAGUGACAGCUGUGAAACAACAGGGCCACGGAACUAACCAUACAAGAAUCGACCAGGGCGGUUCUCUGCAGCACGGCGGUACCACACCGGGAAGUGGUCCAGAGUGAAAAGAUUAUCUUUAUCUGAUGCAGACAGAAAUUUCCUGCAGAACAAACAGUAACUGAAGCCCACUUCCAGAAAACAACAGCUCAAGCAAACAGUGUCAUCACGGCUAAAUGUCUUCAAAUGCCACCCUGACCUAUAGCACCCGCACAGCCAAGAGCAAUUACGCUUCAGGAUAAUGUACUGACCACUCCAGGUAAGGGGAGAGGAGCCGCCCCAGGUGGAGGAGUGUAAGUAUCUCUGGGUUUUGUUGAUGAGUGAUGGGAAGAGGGAUGGUGAGAUCGGCCGCAGGCUGGGACAGGCGGCAGCAGUAAUGCGGUCACUGUACUGGACUGUAGUGGUGAAGAGGAGCUGAGCCAUAAGGCGAAGCUCUCUGUUUAACGGUCGGUCUACAUCCCGACCCUCACCUGUGGUCAUGAGCUGUGGGUAAUGACCGAAAGAACGAGAUCGCGAAUACAAGCGGUGGGAAUGAGCCUCUUCUCAGGGUGGUGCUACACUCUACUGACAGGGUGAGGAGCUUGGUCAUCCAGGAGGAACUCGGAGUAGAGCCGCUACUCCUCCGCAUUGAGAGGAGCCAGCCGAGGUGGUUCGGGCAUCUGAUCCGGAUGCCCCCUGGACACCUCCCGGUGGGGGUGUACCAGGCACGGUCUACCAGGACGAGACCCUGGGGUCAUCCUAGGACCUGCUGGAGGGAUUACAUCUCCAAGUUGGUCUGGGAGCGGCUUGAGAUCCCCGGGAAUGUGCUGGAGGAAGUUGCGGGGGAACAGGGUCGUCUGGGAUUCUCUGCUCUCUCAACAGACGGUUAACGAUGAUGAUGGUGAUGAUGAUGAUGAUGAUGAUGUUCUGAAUUUCGCUUAUACACACUGUGACACUACUGGACUUGUAAUUGCACCAAGCUUGCAUCAUCAGAAGGACUUUAAGGGCCACUGCUACCAGUGGAAAGUGGUAAAUAUUUCAUAACAAUAAGUUAAUCUCUCCUAGUGGGUGUAGUGCACCCUUAAAAACAGGCCUGGUCGAAAUCUAAAAAUCACUGCUCUGUGUCUCACAUUUGAAAAGAAAACAAAUGUUUGAAAUGUGAUAUUUUCACUUUGCCUCCAUGCUCACAGCCGGGGCAAACUGACCCAAAAACAUAAUGUCUGUAAUAUCAACAGUGGGGGGCGGUGGGGUGGGGGGUGCUAACAUGUUAAAUUAGUCAUUUACAUAUUCGUAAUACUAAAUAAGCCCAGCAGAAAAGGUUUCAUGCUCCAAAAAUGUUUUUUUUUCCUUUUUUGUGCUUUUAAACUUUGAAAUGGGUCGAUUUGACCCGACACGACGAGGACACAACAGAGAUAAAGGUUUUUCUUUGUUGAAUGAAUCCAGUUCAAUUGAAACGAUGAACCAUUUUAAAGGGAAGUAAUAACACACAGUAAAGGCCGAGGUCUCUGUAGUGCUGAGAGUUUGUUAACGCUGCUAUGUGUUACUGAUUUAUGGUAAAUUAUGCACAUAUAUCAUAAAGGGUCAGGCACAUAUUUCAAAAUAUGAGUACAUGCGUGUUGUGAACAUGUAUGGAAGUAUCAAAAGUUUAUGGUUAACAUACCAUCACUGUCCAAAGAAAAACAUGCAUCUCCAUUUUUGUCCCGGUUUUUAUUUUGAUUUUUAUUUUUAUUUUUAUCAUCUGAACGCUGCAGCCGUGAUUUACAAUGUGUGGAAAUUUCCUGACGGGACCGAUGGAACAGCUGCUAAAUCACUUGGCAUGACAUCUCUUUACAGUAACUUACAUUAGGAGUAAAGAACUUUUUGUUCUCUCCUGUAAAGUCGCCAAUCAACACGAUCAAACAUCAAACAGUUCAAACACAAACAGCACAAAGACCAGCGAAACAAGGGGCAAAGCACAGGGCUUAAAUAGCACAGGGUAAACGAGGGACAGGCGGGAAACAGGUGGAGACAAUCAGGGGUGGAGUCAUGAAAUGAGGGGGCUGGACUAAAAACCAAAACAAAUACACAUGGACAGGACUGGGAGGGGCCAACUGUGCCAUAUUCACGUCGCCAUUGUCGGAAGAAAACCUCGUCUCUUCAUUUUUGUUGUUUUUGAGUUCUUGGUGUAAUUUGAAAAGGCAUUUCAUGAUGAAUGGACCAAAAGAAACGGCCUUUAAAUGACUGGUCAGAAGGUCUGGUUCCACUGACUUCCAUUAAAAGUAAAGUAGGCGUUCUCCCGACGGCAGCGAUGUGGGUAACAACAACUUUAUACGUUAUUUAUUAUAAAACAUAUGUUACUGGAUAUGAGCAAAAUCUGUCGUCCAUCUAUGAACAAUGUUUUAUCAUGUCAGUUCUGGAUGUAUACGCAGAUAAUUGGCUGAAAUAUGUGUCCCAUAUUUUAAAUAAAUCAGCAUAUAUCUCACAUUCACCGAUCAGGCAUAACAUACUGAGGUUUUAACACCUCAGUGUCGCUGCUGGACUGAGAAUCGUCCACCAACCAAAAAUAUCA